UACGUAGGGAGCGAGCGUUGUCCGGAUUUAUUGGGCGUAAAGAGCUCGUAGGCGGUUAUGUAAGUCAUGUGUGAAAUCUCUGGGCUUAACCCAGAGGGGCCAUGUGAUACUGCAUUGACUUGAGUCUGGUAGAGGAGUUUGGAACUCCCGGUGUAGCGGUGAAAUGCGCAGAUAUCGGGAAGAACACCAGUGGCGAAGGCGGAACUCUGGGCCAGAACUGACGCUGAGGAGCGAAAGCGUGGGUAGCAAACAGG
This 254-nucleotide ribosomal RNA is filed under the name uncultured bacterium. RNAcentral describes it as "partial 16S ribosomal RNA". It matches the Rfam family "Bacterial small subunit ribosomal RNA", at positions 524 to 776 of the family's 1533-position model. The record is from RNAcentral.